RNAcentral lists this ribosomal RNA (253 nucleotides) under uncultured bacterium. Its description in RNAcentral is "partial 16S ribosomal RNA". It matches the Rfam family "Bacterial small subunit ribosomal RNA", at positions 524 to 776 of the family's 1533-position model. The record is from RNAcentral.
UACGUAGGUGGCAAGCGUUGUCCGGAUUUAUUGGGUUUAAAGGGUGCGUAGGUGGUCUAUUAAGUCAGUGCUGAAAUAUCCCGGCUUAACCGGGAGGGUGGCAUUGAUACUGAUGGACUUGAAUGGAGUCGAGGUAGGCGGAAUUGACGGUGUAGCGGUGAAAUGCUUAGAUAUCGUCAAGAACACCGAUAGUGUAGACAGCUUACUAGGCUCUAAUUGACACUGAGGCACGAAAGUGUGGGGAGCAAACAGG